Non-coding RNA from Phrynosoma platyrhinos (Desert horned lizard), 73 nucleotides. NCBI's taxonomy places the organism in Eukaryota, Metazoa, Chordata, Lepidosauria, Squamata, Phrynosomatidae. The record is from the annotation of a GenBank genome assembly.
GGCCAGCAUGGUGUAGUGGUUUGAAUGUGUGACUACAAUUCUGGAGACCAAGGUUUGAAUCCUUGCUUGGCCA